UCCUCCAAGGCUAAAUACUCCUGACUGACCGAUAGUGAACCAGUACCGUGAGGGAAAGGCGAAAAGAACCCCGGCGAGGGGAGUGAAAAAGAACCUGAAACCGUGUACGUACAAGCAGUGGGAGCACAGGUUUACCUGUGUGACUGCGUACCUUUUGUAUAAUGGGUCAGCGACUUAUAUUCUGUAGCAAGGUUAACCGCAUAGGGGAGCCGGAGGGAAACCGAGUCUUAAUUGGGCGUUAAGUUGCAGGGUAUAGACCCGAAACCCGGUGAUCUAGCCAUGGGCAGGUUGAAGGUUGGGUAACACUAACUGGAGGACCGAACCGACUAAUGUUGAAAAAUUAGCGGAUGACCUGUGGCUGGGGGUGAAAGGCCAAUCAAACCGGGAGAUAGCUGGUUCUCCCCGAAAGCUAUUUAGGUAGCGCCUCGUGAAUUCAUCUCCGGGGGUAGAGCACUGUUUCGGCUAGGGGGCCAUCCCGGCUUACCAACCCGAUGCAAACUGCGAAUACCGGAGAAUGUUAUCACGGGAGACACACGGCGGGUGCUAACGUCCGUCGUGAAGAGGGAAACAACCCAGACCGCCAGCUAAGGUCCCAAAGUCAUGGUUAAGUGGGAAACGAUGUGGGAAGGCCCAGACAGCCAGGAUGUUGGCUUAGAAGCAGCCAUCAUUUAAAGAAAGCGUAAUAGCUCACUGGUCGAGUCGGCCUGCGCGGAAGAUGUAACGGGGCUAAACCAUGCACCGAAGCUGCGGCAGCGACACUAUGUGUUGUUGGGUAGGGGAGCGUUCUGUAAGCCUGUGAAGGUGUGUCGUGAGGCAUGCUGGAGGUAUCAGAA
This 833-nucleotide ribosomal RNA is filed under the name Salmonella enterica subsp. enterica serovar Manhattan. RNAcentral's name for it is "partial 23S ribosomal RNA". It matches the Rfam family "Bacterial large subunit ribosomal RNA", at positions 456 to 1287 of the family's 2925-position model. Lineage: Bacteria; Pseudomonadati; Pseudomonadota; Gammaproteobacteria; Enterobacterales; Enterobacteriaceae. The record is from RNAcentral.